Molecule: ribosomal RNA, 145 nt
Filed under: Vibrio cholerae BJG-01
Lineage: Bacteria; Pseudomonadati; Pseudomonadota; Gammaproteobacteria; Vibrionales; Vibrionaceae
Description: partial 16S ribosomal RNA
Rfam family: Bacterial small subunit ribosomal RNA
Source: RNAcentral
AGAGUUUGAUCAUGGCUCAGAUUGAACGCUGGCGGCAGGCCUAACACAUGCAAGUCGAGCGGCAGCACAGAGGAACUUGUUCCUUGGGUGGCGAGCGGCGGACGGGUGAGUAAUGCCUGGGAAAUUGCCCGGUAGAGGGGGAUAA